GAUGAACGCUAGCUACAGGCUUAACACAUGCAAGUCGAACGGAGUUUGAGAGAGCUUGCUUUUUUCAAACUUAGUGGCGAACGGGUGAGUAACGCGUGAGUAACCUGCCCUGGAGUGGGGGACAACAGUUGGAAACGACUGCUAAUACCGCAUAAGCCCACGGCCCGGCAUCGGGUUGAGGGAAAAGGAUUUAUUCGCUUCAGGAUGGACUCGCGUCCAAUUAGCUAGUUGGUGAGGUAACGGCCCACCAAGGCGACGAUUGGUAGCCGGACUGAGAGGUUGAACGGCCACAUUGGGACUGAGACACGGCCCAG
RNAcentral lists this ribosomal RNA (314 nucleotides) under uncultured bacterium. RNAcentral describes it as "bacterial SSU rRNA". It matches the Rfam family "Bacterial small subunit ribosomal RNA", at positions 28 to 334 of the family's 1533-position model. The record is from RNAcentral.